Molecule: long non-coding RNA, 1892 nt
Organism: Herpailurus yagouaroundi (jaguarundi)
Lineage: Eukaryota; Metazoa; Chordata; Mammalia; Carnivora; Felidae
Exons: 3
Source: RefSeq, a predicted model, not a curated record
CCUGUCCCGGGGAUGGCCAGGCAGACAGCCCUCCACCCCAGGUCCCCGGCCUCCGUACAAUUCAGAGGCCACCUCUGCGGAGGGGAGGGCCGUGCGAGGCCGUGCGCCCCCGCGGGCACCUGAGGGGAACGGUGAGAACCCGGGUAGGGGCGAACGAAUGCAGAGAUGGAGUUAAGGGGGAGCCUCUCCUCUGCCUCCAGAUUGGGGAGCCGCAGCGAGAAAGACUUCUUUCUUAGGUUUGGCUAUUGGAAACCUUCUCCCUGCGGAUCCCGUCCAGAGAUGACCCCAGAUUCUGGGAAGCAGGGAGAAGCCCGACACCCCCAUCGCCACCACCCCGUGCAGCCGGGGGGGGGGGGGGCACCCUCUCUGGGGCUUUACUGAAAAUGAGUGCCAGGUGCUUUGACCCAAUGUCAAAGCCAGAUGAGCUGACCAGACAGGGGGGAAGUUUAACCAGAGGAUGCACCAAAAUGCAAUGUCAAGGCAGAAGACCAGCAAAUUCUUUUUUAACCUCUCAAGACCCUUUCCAAGAGUCCCCAGCCUGUCCCAGCUCUCCUCAUCUGCGGCUCUGGAAGCCCAGUGGAGGCCCACGGAGCCAAUGGACACUCACGGGUGCCUAGGCGCAUGCCUCCCGGAUUCGAGGCUGGAGCUGCUUUCUCCCCGACCGGGUUUGAGAGCCUGUGUUCAUUUCACACUCCAGGGAGCAAGGUCUGCUUCUGUGUCCUCCGGAGCUGGGUGCUAGUAGCCAGGCACUUAAUUUUGCCCCAUCUGCUAGCUACCUCCCAUUUUUACACUUCAAUUUAUUUUCCAUAAUUGCUAUGGAGGGGGGAGUUCGGCUGAAAAUCGUUUUCUUUACAAAGCAAAGAGCCAAGAGAAUCAGACUCUCUCCAUCCAGAGGCGGGUCUCGGGGAACAGAAGGCUUUAAACAACGAGGUGGGGAUGUUAAGCUGCAGGGAUGGGCCAUUUGUCACGACACAAAGAUGUGAAUGGAAGUCUGCAUCAUAGAGGAGCAUUUGUGUGAGGAACACUGUGUAGGCAGUAACAACUCCCUGGCAGGGAGGGGCCGAGAUCGCCACUGAUUGAGCACCAACUGUGUACUAGAUGUCGGUGCAGAGAAAUUCUUUGUACCAAGGUGCAGAGAAUUUUAGGUGGUUUUCAAGACGGAGUAGGACCCGUCUAAGCACACUAACCGGCACUAAGCUCGAGGCUGGCCCCCAACAGGUGCUUGAAUAUUCACUGAGCUUGUGUGUCAAUAUCACCCCUCUUUCCUUCAUUCUCUCUGGACCCUGGCCCUCCCUGAUUGGUCCCUGUGCCGCCUUCUUGCCCAUCAAUCCUGGUUUUGCACUUUUCUACCCAGGAUGUGGGAUUGCAGGGUCUGUCCACACCCCAGUCACCUGCAGGCCUUGGCUCACUCUGUUCCCUUUGAAAUGCCCUUGCCCUCCCCUGCUCUGUACUCCUGCUUUACCUAGCACACCACUGCUAACUCAUGUUCAUCUCAAGAGAACCUCCUCCAAACCCCCAACGCCCAGCUGAGUGCCCACCUCCUAUAAUUCCCAUAAUAUAUUCAGCACAAUCUCAUAAUAUCCUAUGAACCCCUAUCUUAAGAUGUCACAUCAUGAUUAUGUUUACUUGGUGGUUUCCCCACGUAAGCUGUGUCGUUGAGAACAGGGGCUCAGUCUCAUUAAUUUCUCUGUCUGAGCACUUAGCACACUGCCUGGCACCAAAUGAGGUCUCAUGUUGAGUGGAUGGAUGGAUGGAUGAUCCAGUAUAGGCCUGAACUCACAAAGCAAAGACCAAAUGACAAAUAGUUGAUCCCCAUGUCCUGGGCUCAAGUCAACUUCUGCAGAGGCAGUAAAAAAAAAUAUUCACAUACCGGCAGCGGGUAAAGCACACAU